UACAGAGGGUGCAAGCGUUGUUCGGAAUUACUGGGCGUAAAGCGCACGUAGGCGGGUUGCCAAGUCGGGGGUGAAAUCCUGGAGCUCAACUCCAGAACUGCCUUCGAUACUGGCGAUCUUGGAGUCCGGGAGAGGUGAGUGGAACUGCGAGUGUAGAGGUGAAAUGCGUAGAUAUGCGCAAGAACACCAGUGGCGAAGGCGGCUCACUGGCCCGGUACUGACGCUGAGGUGCGAAAGCGUGGGGAGCAAACAGG
This 254-nucleotide ribosomal RNA is filed under the name uncultured bacterium. RNAcentral's name for it is "partial 16S ribosomal RNA". It matches the Rfam family "Bacterial small subunit ribosomal RNA", at positions 524 to 776 of the family's 1533-position model. The record is from RNAcentral.